RNAcentral lists this ribosomal RNA (420 nucleotides) under Fusobacteriota bacterium. Its description in RNAcentral is "Fusobacteria bacterium partial 16S ribosomal RNA". It matches the Rfam family "Bacterial small subunit ribosomal RNA", at positions 355 to 776 of the family's 1533-position model. Lineage: Bacteria; Fusobacteriati; Fusobacteriota. The record is from RNAcentral.
UGGGGGAUAUUGCACAAUGGGCGAAAGCCUGAUGCAGCGACGCCGCGUGGGGGAUGAAGGCCUUCGGGUUGUAAACUUCUUUUGCUCUGAACAAGGCAUGCUUUUGGGGUGUGUUGAGUGUAGGGGUUGAUUAGCGCCGGCUAACUACGUGCCAGCAGCCGCGGUAAUACGUAGGGCGCGAGCGUUGUCCGGAAUUAUUGGGCGUAAAGGGCUUGUAGGUGGCUGGGUGCGUCUGUCGUGAAAGCUCAUGGCUUAACUGUGGGUUUGCGGUGGGUACGGGCUGGCUUGAGUGCAGUAGGGGAGGCUGGAAUUCCUGGUGUAGCGGUGGAAUGCGCAGAUAUCAGGAGGAAUACCGGUGGCGAAGGCGGGUCUCUGGGCUGUUACUGACGCUGAGGAGCGAAAGCGUGGGGAGCGAACAGG